GCCUGAUGCAGCGACGCCGCGUGGGGGAUGACGGCCUUCGGGUUGUAAACUCCUUUCAGCAGGGACGAAGCUUUUGUGACGGUACCUGCAGAAGAAGCACCGGCUAACUACGUGCCAGCAGCCGCGGUAAUACGUAGGGUGCGAGCGUUGUCCGGAAUUAUUGGGCGUAAAGAGCUUGUAGGCGGUUUGUCGCGUCUGCCGUGAAAGCCCAGGGCUUAACCCUGGGUCUGCGGUGGGUACGGGCAGGCUAGAGUGUGGUAGGGGAGACUGGAAUUCCUGGUGUAGCGGUGAAAUGCGCAGAUAUCAGGAGGAACACCGAUGGCGAAGGCAGGUCUCUGGGCCAUAACUGACGCUGAGAAGCGAAAGCAUGGGGAGCGAACAGGAUUAGAUACCCUGGUAGUCCAUGCCGUAAACGUUGGGCGCUAGGUGUGGGACUCAUUCCACGAGUUCCGUGCCGCAGCUAACGCAUUAAGCGCCCCGCCUGGGGAGUACGGCCGCAAGGCUAAAACUC
RNAcentral lists this ribosomal RNA (511 nucleotides) under uncultured bacterium. Its description in RNAcentral is "bacterial SSU rRNA". It matches the Rfam family "Bacterial small subunit ribosomal RNA", at positions 381 to 902 of the family's 1533-position model. The record is from RNAcentral.